This 486-nucleotide ribosomal RNA is filed under the name uncultured bacterium. RNAcentral's name for it is "partial 16S ribosomal RNA". It matches the Rfam family "Bacterial small subunit ribosomal RNA", at positions 30 to 507 of the family's 1533-position model. The record is from RNAcentral.
AUUGAACGCUGGCGGCAUGCCUUACACAUGCAAGUCGAACGGCAGCACGGGUGCUUGCCCCUGGUGGCGAGUGGCGAACGGGUGAGUAAUACAUCGGAACAUGUCCUGUAGUGGGGGAUAGCCCGGCGAAAGCCGGAUUAAUACCGCAUACGAUCCACGGAUGAAAGCGGGGGACCUUCGGGCCUCGCGCUAUAGGGUUGGCCGAUGGCUGAUUAGCUAGUUGGUGGGGUAAAGGCCUACCAAGGCGACGAUCAGUAGCUGGUCUGAGAGGACGACCAGCCACACUGGGACUGAGACACGGCCCAGACUCCUACGGGAGGCAGCAGUGGGGAAUUUUGGACAAUGGGCGAAAGCCUGAUCCAGCAAUGCCGCGUGUGUGAAGAAGGCCUUCAGGUUGUAAAGCACUUUUGUCCGGAAAGAAAUCCUUGACUCUAAUACAGUCGGGGGAUGACGGUACCGGAAGAAUAAGCACCGGCUAACUACGUG